Heterocephalus glaber (naked mole-rat) is the source of this 78-nucleotide microRNA precursor. The record is from Ensembl. NCBI's taxonomy places the organism in Eukaryota, Metazoa, Chordata, Mammalia, Rodentia, Bathyergidae.
UGCGGGGCUAGGGCUAACAGCAGUCUUACUGAAGGUUUCCUGGAAACCACACACAUGCUGUUGCCACUAACCUCAACC